Molecule: unclassified non-coding RNA, 644 nt
Filed under: Hevea brasiliensis (rubber tree)
Lineage: Eukaryota; Viridiplantae; Streptophyta; Magnoliopsida; Malpighiales; Euphorbiaceae
Source: RNAcentral
AGAUCCCUAUAAGUAAAGGGCAAUGCUCUCUUACAUCACACAAGAGAGUCCUUCACUGACAUAUAUGGCAGAAAGCUCAGCUCCAUCUCAACAGUCCUGUCACAAGCCGGCCGCCUCAUCAGCCCUGAAACUAUUCGGUUUCCCAUUAACUGAGCACCGUGAAAUACUAGCCAAAACUGAGAAUUGUGCUGAAAGCAGGAAAUUCGAGUGCCAUUUUUGCCGGCGAGCCUUUGCCAAUUCACAAGCGCUAGGAGGCCAUCAAAAUGCGCACAAGAGAGAGCGGCAAAGAGCCAGGCGUGUCCAAUACUAUUGUGAUCGGCGCUUGCUUACAGCUGCUCCAGUUCUGAGCACACAUGCUGUGAAAGCAUCAUCAUCUUCCAUUUCUACAGGAGGAUUUACUAGCGUCGGUGUUGCUGCUAAAUUUAGGCCACAAGCAGCUGCAAGUCAUUGUCCGUCAUCGACGACAAGGCCCCUGCUGCUUCCAUCACCUCCUUCUAAGUUAACCUCUCUAAUUUAUGUUAGGCAGCCUUUGCACGUGGGUACUGCUAUGCCAUCGUUUGUUGAAUUUCCUGGUAAAUCGUUGUCUGAUGAGGAUGUAGGGAUUGAUCUUUGUCUCAAACUAACUCCUUCCGUUUAGUCAUAUA